This is an RNA transcript of Xenopus laevis (African clawed frog), 2624 nucleotides long. It is a transcript of the gene named serine incorporator 2 L homeolog, with no coding region annotated. Lineage: Eukaryota; Metazoa; Chordata; Amphibia; Anura; Pipidae. The transcript has 10 exons. The record is from RefSeq and is a predicted model, not a curated record.
CACUCGUGUUGGUCACAUGGCUGUGACAUUAGAAACUCCUCACAGCUACUCAAUUCUAACACGAGUACCGUGCCGAGUGCUGCUCAGUGUGUGUGAGUGCGCCUUCUUCCCUGAACUAUGGGCGCCUGCCUGGGAGUCUGCUCCUUGCUCAGCUGUGCUUCCUGUCUCUGUGGUACAGCACCAUGCCUUCUCUGUGGCUGUUGCCCAUCAACAAAAAACUCUACUAUCACCCGACUAAUCUUCUCAAUUUUUCUACUGCUUGGAACUCUUGUGGCAUGUAUCAUGAUCAUACCUGGAGUGGAAGCCGGGCUUAAAAAGGUUCCGUUAUUAUGCACCUCUUCUACAAGCAUCUCUGGCUCUUUAAACUGUGAUGUCAUGGUUGGACACCAAGCUGUGUACCGCAUGUGCUUUGCUCUGGCUGCAUUUUUCUUUCUUUUUGUCAUUUUAAUGAUCUGUGUGAGAAGCAGUCGGGAUCCAAGAGCAGCAGUGCAGAAUGGGUUUUGGUUUUUUAAGUUCUUGAUAUUAGUUGGAAUAACAGUUGGAGCAUUCUAUAUUCCUAGUGGAACAUUCACCAUAGUGUGGUAUUACUUUGGCAUGGUAGGUGGUUUCCUAUUCAUUCUGAUCCAGCUCAUUCUCAUCAUUGACCUUGCCCAUGCAUGGAGUCAGUCUUGGUUGCAGCAUGCAGAGAAUGGGAACAGCAAGUGCUGGUAUGCAGCACUUGUUAUAUGCACAUUCCUGCUCUAUACUGCUUCCGUCAUCGCCAUUGUGUUCUUGUAUAUCUAUUACACCAGCUCAAAUGAAUGUGUCCACAACAAAGUUUUCAUCAGUCUCAAUCUAAUUUUUUGUGUGAUCAUUUCUAUCAUUUCCAUUCUGCCAAAGGUCCAGGAUGCUCAGCCCCAUUCUGGAUUACUGCAAGCAUCAGUGAUUACAUUGUAUACAAUGUUUGUCACCUGGUCUGCCAUGGCCAAUGUUCCAAAUAAAAAUUGUAAUCCGACAUUACUUGCUAUUGCCUCCAACACCACCACUGCUUCCUCCUCUUCUGCUCCAGCCCAGUGGUGGGAUGCUCCCAGCAUUGUGGGUUUAGCUAUCUUCAUCAUCUGUACAUUGUUCAUAAGCCUUCGUUCCUCCAAUAACCAACAGGUGAACAAGCUGAUGUUGACAGAGGACAGCUCUGGAGAUACAGGUGGCCCCAUUGUGGAAAGUGGUGGAGAAAACCGAGCAUAUGAUAAUGAAGAAGAUUCUGUGUCCUACAGUUACAGUUUCUUUCAUUUUUGUCUUGUACUUGCUUCUCUCUACAUCAUGAUGACACUAACCAACUGGUAUUUACCUGGAGAAAAUGGAAGUUAUUUGACCAGCCCUUGGUCAGCUGUUUGGGUGAAGAUCGCUUCUAGCUGGGCUGGACUCCUACUGUAUGUUUGGACAUUGGUUGCUCCACUUAUCCUCUCUGACCGGGACUUUGGCUAAAUUUGAUGUUCUUAAACUGUGUUGUGACUUUCCCAAUACCUCCAAAAAUGUUUAUAUCAGUGCCUUUUUUUGGUAUGAAGAAAUAGGACCUAGUUAAAUGUAUGUUGUAGGUAAACCUGCUCUAGCCCAAUUCAAUAAAGUGUUUGGGAAACUUUGUUUUAUCCCGUAAAGGAAUAGUUCAGUGUGAAAAUAAAACCGGUUUAAAUAAAUAGGCUAGUCAGCGACUUGAAGGGGCCCGCAUGGUACAUAAUCUGUUCAGUGAGUUUGCAAUUGAUCCUUAGCAUUCAGCUCAGAUUCAAAAGCAACAGAUAUUACCCAUCUGGCCCCCCCUCAAGUCUCUGAUUGGUUACUGCCUGGUAACCAGUCAGUGUAAACACAGAGAGCUGAAAAGCAGGAAGUAGUGUUCUGGCUAUUAUAUUAGACAUCCAGUCACUCCAGCCUUUAUACAUUACAUUUAUGUAGUGCCAUGCAUCAAAUGUUUCCCGUCCAACAGCUAGUGCCUGUCACAUAUAGGUCAUGCAGCCUGUGUGACAUUUCCUAAGGCCCUUUUAAAUAACUUAUUGUGAAAACUACAUACUGUUAAACUUAGUGCUAUGCAAUCUGCCUACUCUUUCUGAUUGUGCUUGGCUUGUAAAUAGAAUUAAAACAUGAAGAGCUAACUUACUAAUAGAUGCAUAUGAUACAUGCCUUUAGUCCCCAGAGUUCAUUUAGACAAGCAAGUAACAGGACAUUCCAGGAGAAGCCCAAGUGCAGAAUGUGACUCAGAGCACAACACCCGGGCACCAUGCAAAUUACAAGAUGCAGGGUACUCUGCUCUUUGUAUCUUGGCCUUUAUUAAAUAAACAAAGCUGCAACUUUACUUCAACAAACAUCCAAAAAGAAUAAUGCUGCAAUAUUAUGACAUAAUUUGUAUUCAAAGUAAAUCAUAUUUUUCUCUAAUCAUUUCCCUAGUCCAGACAUGAAAUUGCACUUUUUUUAAGGAAGGGAAACAAACAGACAUUCUCUCUUAAGCUAUUACAUAAGUAUUAUAUGUUCUUACUUGUCUAGAAUAUUAAUACUUUGUGUGCUUUAUUAACCUACAGCAGAAUGGAGCACUUUUGUACAAUAUUUUUAUACUAUUUUUUUGAUUGUUACAUUAUAAAUAAACCAGUUUACAAUUA